AGGCCAUGAGGGUCGCCUCGGAGAUGGCGAAUUGCUGCAGGAUGCCUGAAGUCAAGACAGCAAAAGACAAGUUUAAUUGGCUGAAGAACUGACACGAAGAAGACGAGAGGAGCACUUGACGGCUGCCACCGAGGACAAAGACGAUAAGACGGGAUUUCUCUUUUAUCAGCCGGACACCAAGUCGAGGAGGACAAGCGGGUGGCUCUCGCCGCUGCCGAAAAGUCGAUUAGCGCGCUUCGUUUCAAGUCAAGUGCCAAUCAAGUAAGUGGCAACAUUUUUUUUUGGUCCAACAUUCACCUUGUGUGUCCAUUCAGAUUCAAAGGUGAAGGAACUCAUUAGAAAUCAGUGGUGACAAGGUCAAGGUCGCUGUUGGAAUACUUCACAAAAGCCAAUUUGGCUUUUUUUGUGGUCUUUGUACAUUAAUGAACACGGCGAUGAAAGGAAGUUAUGAGCCUGAGCCAAAUUACAUCCCCAGCUCAUUUCAAAAAUGUUUUAAAAAAAAAGGUAAUAAACUACAAUUCAAACUGCAUGCCGCUCUGUAAUACCGAAAUAAAUACAUCCCCUGGCGGAGCUAAGAGGGGGGGCCAUGGGGGCAUUGGCACCCCCUGAAGGACUUUGGGAUAUUUCCAGAUUUUUCAGGGAUUUUUUUUCCCACAUAGUGGCAUUAAGCUUACUUUGGCUUGUUACUCCCUCUUAAUAUAGACUCACGUAAAUAUUAUGUUAGACUGAUGCUGUGUUUGCAUAUUUUGCAGCAAUUGAUUGAUGCAAUUCCAUUAAUCUUCUUGUUCUUACUCCUCCUUUUCCGUGUCGUGUAUUGUUUGUUCUUUCAUACAUUCUAUCUCCCAUCUUGGAAA
Long non-coding RNA from Syngnathus acus (greater pipefish), 854 nucleotides. RefSeq lists it as uncharacterized. The transcript has 2 exons. Lineage: Eukaryota; Metazoa; Chordata; Actinopteri; Syngnathiformes; Syngnathidae. The record is from RefSeq and is a predicted model, not a curated record.